RNAcentral lists this ribosomal RNA (254 nucleotides) under uncultured bacterium. Its description in RNAcentral is "partial 16S ribosomal RNA". It matches the Rfam family "Bacterial small subunit ribosomal RNA", at positions 524 to 776 of the family's 1533-position model. The record is from RNAcentral.
UACGGAGGGGGCGAGCGUUGUUCGGAUUUACUGGGCGUAAAGGGUGUGUAGGCGGCUGGAUAAGUCUGGCGUGAAAUCUUCACCGCUUAACGGGAAGGGGUCGCUGGAAACUGUUCAGCUUGAGUAUGGUAGAGGCAAGCGGAAUUCCUGGUGUAGCGGUGAAAUGCGCAGAUAUCAGGAGGAACACCAAUUGCGAAGGCAGCUCGCUGGGACGUUACUGACGCUGAGACGCGAAAGCGUGGGGAGCAAACAGG